RNAcentral lists this ribosomal RNA (484 nucleotides) under uncultured bacterium. Its description in RNAcentral is "partial 16S ribosomal RNA". It matches the Rfam family "Bacterial small subunit ribosomal RNA", at positions 30 to 507 of the family's 1533-position model. The record is from RNAcentral.
AUUGAACGCUGGCGGCAUGCUUUACACAUGCAAGUCGAACGGCAGCGCGGGCUUCGGCCUGGCUGCUAGUGGCGAACGGGUGAGUAAUGCAUCGGAACGUGCCCAGUAGUGGGGGAUAGCCCGGCGAAAGCCGGAUUAAUACCACAUACGACCUGAGGGUGAAAGCGGGAGAGCGAAAGACCUCUCGCUAUGUUAGCGGCCGAUGUCGGAUUAGCUAGUUGGUGGGGUAAAGGCUUACCAAGGCGACGAUCCGUAGCUGGUCUGAGAGGGCGACCAGCCACACUGGGACUUGGACACGGCCCAGACUCCUACGGGACGCAGCAGUGGGGAAUUUUGGACAAUGGGGGCAACCCUGAUCCAGCCAUGCCGCGUGCGAGAAGAAGGCCUUCGGGUUGUAAACCGCUUUUGUUCGGGAAGAAAUCCUCUGGGCUAAUACCCCGGGGGGAUGACGGUACCGGAAGAAUAAGCACCGGCUAACUACGUG